RNAcentral lists this ribosomal RNA (371 nucleotides) under uncultured Nitrospira sp. RNAcentral describes it as "bacterial SSU rRNA". It matches the Rfam family "Bacterial small subunit ribosomal RNA", at positions 522 to 895 of the family's 1533-position model. The record is from RNAcentral. Lineage: Bacteria; Pseudomonadati; Nitrospirota; Nitrospiria; Nitrospirales; Nitrospiraceae.
AAGACGAAGGUGGCAAGCGUUGUUCGGAUUUACUGGGCGUACAGGGUGCGUAGGCGGUUCGGUAAGCCCUUCGUGAAAUCUCCGGGCUUAACCCGGAAAGGUCGGAGGGGACUGCCGAGCUAGAGGACGGGAGAGGAGCGCGGAAUUCCCGGUGUAGCGGUGAAAUGCGUAGAGAUCGGGAGGAAGGCCGGUGGCGAAGGCGGCGCUCUGGAACGUUUCUGACGCUGAUGCACGAAAGCGUGGGGAGCAAACAGGAUUAGAUACCCUGGUAGUCCACGCCCUAAACGAUGGACACUAGGUGUCGGCGGGUUACCGCCGGUGCCGCAGCUGACGCAGUAAGUGUCCCGCCUGGGGAGUACGGCCGCAAGGUU